Molecule: long non-coding RNA, 1648 nt
Organism: Xenopus laevis (African clawed frog)
Lineage: Eukaryota; Metazoa; Chordata; Amphibia; Anura; Pipidae
Exons: 5
Source: RefSeq, a predicted model, not a curated record
CGCUGGGAAGAGGGAUGUGUGGCAGAGUGGGGGAAUUUGUAGGCAAAAGAAGCAAUGUUUCUUCCAGCAGCUCUAGGGUUAAUCCUGUCAGGCAAGCAGGUGCAUGGGCUGCUAAUUAACCUAGCUGCUGAGUGUUAAAAGCUUGUGUUUUUGAGCAGACAGAGAGCCCAGUGAGAGGAGAUGGGAGCUCCAGUGAAAGUGCUCUGACAAAAGCCGCCGUGUACUCAGAAGGUCAUUGUUUGGUGAGGUUUCAUCUAUUCAAGUGAGGAGCUAGAAGAUGAGGACAAUGAACUCAUGGAAGAGGAACAAGAUGAAUUUUCAGGUUCAAUACCUGAUUUCUCCAGAGUUCGAUCUGGGAAUGAAGACUGGCUUUCUUUAGGUCACAGAAGUACAAAGAAGUACAACUCAUGUCACAGAUACUGAAUAUAUAUGCCAAAGAUCUCUUAAAUCUAGGCACUGGGUAUUAUAAGAGAAUGUGCAGAAUUCUGUGAAAUGAAUGGCAUCACUUGAAGGAAUUUUGAAGUCCAAAAAGAAUCCAGACAAACAUUUCUGACUUUGGAUUUCUGUUCAGGCCAAUCAGGAUCUGAUUCUGAUCUAAGCUGCCUUUUUAUACUGUGAAUACUGUUGUCAGUGCACCAAUGAGAUUUUAAUGGAGCACACAAGCACUACUGGUGCGAAUAUUUUUGCAGAAUAUGAAAGGUGGACUAAUUCACUCCUGGCAGUUUGUUGGACAAGAAACCUUAUCUACUAGAAGAUGCCCAGAAUGAGCACCAUUGCUGCACAACCUCUGCUUCUUCCACUGCGCUACUCCACUAAGAACAUUAUAUGGCACAUCAGUGGGCUGGUAUUGCUCAGAAACUAUGGAGUUUUGGAUGUACAGAACUCAUGAAAUUGGAGAUUUUAUACUUGAACAACAGAAAACUUGGAGGGGAAACACCUUUCAAUCUAUUUUUAAAGCAGGAACUGGACCAUCUGUGUUUUUUACUGGCUGAAAUAAGAAGGAAUUUGCAGGUACGAUUCAGACAAGGGUUGAUUUUUUGGUGCCCCUCCAUGGGGGCACACUCUGCAACACAAUAUUUUAGUAAUAAUUUUGUAUUGUCUCUACCAGAGACGAGAGUUGCCCAAUAGGGUAUAAAAUCAGACAUCCUAUAGAUUAAACUGACACCUUUAGUGACACAGGGGCAGCUUUCUUGAGCGUCAAGAUUAUUUAGGAUUAUAAAGAAUUGCCUGGAGUCAUCAGACAUAUCAUGGGAUCAAUUUUCAGAGGCCGCCAUUACCAUUAUCAAUGAUUUAUAUCGUAAAAGAGCCCCUACACACUGGUGGAAGUUGGUAUGGAACUUGCCCUGCCGAAAUAUUUUACAAUAUGUUAAAAAAUAAAAGUAAUAAGUGGUGAAUACAGGUCUAGGGGGUAACAUUAUAAAGCUAUAUAUCUGACACUGUAAAGUAGCUCAGGAUUUCUACAAUAUUGUGUCCACAUUAUGGACCAAGCCAGUGCUAGACUUUUGCCCAAUGCUGGAUACGUGUGUAUGCACCUGCUAAUUGCAGAUGAAAUUCUCUGGCCCGCAUUUCAGUAGUUACAGUGCAGACUAUAAUGUGUGUCUCAGUAGCUAUGGGGAUUGAGUAAUGUGGUUGGGGCAACUUUUUUUGG